GGCUUGGUAGCGGGGUGAUCCCGCAUCUGCUUUCUAUUAGACAUCCUUGUAGAAAUGAGCAGAAGGAAACCCGUGCGAUUCGGGUCUGAGCCA
Non-coding RNA from Mycena vulgaris, 93 nucleotides. The record is from the annotation of a GenBank genome assembly. Lineage: Eukaryota; Fungi; Basidiomycota; Agaricomycetes; Agaricales; Mycenaceae.